UCUCCCUCUAAAUACCUUCUCCUUCAGACCCAUGCCUCAUUUGUUCCCCUUCAGAAAAGAGCAGGCUUCCCAGGGAUAUCAACCUAGCAUGGAAUAAGACUAGUGUAGUGGCUAUUCCUGGUUGUCAACUUGACAAUAUUUGGAAUGAACUACAAUCCAGAAUUGGAAGGCUCACCAGUGACCCUUAUCUGGAGGCUUGGAGAUCCUUAUCUGGAUCUUGGUUUGAAGAUCCUGAGCCAUAGUGGGUAUGGAUUCCAGAAGAUUGAAUCUCCGAGUUUAAGGAACACACCUUUAAUCUGGGCUACGCCUUUCAUCUGGGAUUAAAGGUGUGGUGGAACACACUUUAAUCUGGGCUACACCUUCUGCUGGAGAAAAUAUAAGGACAUUGGAAGAAGGGAGUCUAGCUCUAGUUCUUGCUCCUUCGCCUGCUUGCUGCGUGAGACUGAGUAACUGCUAGAUCCUUGGACUUCCAUUCACAGCUGCGACUGAACAAUUGUUGGGAAUUGGGCUGCCGACUGAAAAGACACAACAGAAUUGGGUCACAGUUUCAGUAUGAUAACCUGGGAACACCUAGAAAAACUGGAUUGCAAAAGCAAGAACUAAAUCAUACAAAUGUUUGUGUUUUAAUCUGAAUAUCUUUGAAUAUCAUCAACUGAAGAUCAAUGCAUUGCCUCCUAUUAUAAGCUAUCAUAGACUAGGGACUAACAAUCACAAAAUAUUGAUUGUUCUUAUUUCUUGAGAUGAUAACUCCGAGGUCAAGAUGUGGCAGAUUUGAUGUCUAAUGAGAGAUACUUCCUGUUUCCUAGAUAGCACCUUCUUGCUAUGUUCUUAGUGGGUGGAAUGAUACAGGAUCUGUCUGGGGUACCUUUUACAAGGGCAGUAAUGCCAUUCAUUAAAUUUUACAUUAAUAACAUCAAGUGUUCCAAAAGUCCUCACCUCUUAACACCAUCAAUUUAGAGAUGAAUGACGAUUUCCAAAUAGGAAUGUUGGGAUGAAACACAUAUGCAAAGCACAGUAUAUACCCAUCAUAUAAAUCUAUUGCUAGUUAAUAAUAUGUUUGGGGCUGACUUUUACACAAGCACCUAAAUCUAUGCGUGCAUCCAUGGCUAUGGUUACAAUUAUGGUUAUCUCCAUAUAAACAAAACUAUCUGUAACUCUCUGUAUACCUUCCUAAAUGCCUAAACUGUAUGCAUCUAAGUCUAUAACUGUGUCCUCAAUCAUAUCCUGGAUAAAUUUGCUCUAAAGGUGUGAAUUGAUUGUAACUCAUGAAUUCAUUGUAUGUGCUAUAUUAAACUUCUACAAAUCUG
Molecule: long non-coding RNA, 1307 nt
Organism: Mus musculus (house mouse)
Lineage: Eukaryota; Metazoa; Chordata; Mammalia; Rodentia; Muridae
Product: predicted gene, 54060
Exons: 2
Source: RefSeq, a predicted model, not a curated record